GGAUCCAUACGGAGAGAUCUCAAUCCAACCUUAGGAAAAGAAACCUGCCAUGGAGUCUUGGAGAUUGGCGACCAUCCCAAUGACAUA
Molecule: microRNA precursor, 87 nt
Filed under: Equus caballus (horse)
Lineage: Eukaryota; Metazoa; Chordata; Mammalia; Perissodactyla; Equidae
Description: mir-9014 microRNA precursor family
Rfam family: mir-9014 microRNA precursor family
Source: Rfam by way of RNAcentral